Molecule: transfer RNA, 85 nt
Filed under: Felis catus (domestic cat)
Lineage: Eukaryota; Metazoa; Chordata; Mammalia; Carnivora; Felidae
Rfam family: tRNA
About the family: Transfer RNA (tRNA) molecules are approximately 80 nucleotides in length. Their secondary structure includes four short double-helical elements and three loops (D, anti-codon, and T loops). Further hydrogen bonds mediate the characteristic L-shaped molecular structure. tRNAs have two regions of fundamental functional importance: the anti-codon, which is responsible for specific mRNA codon recognition, and the 3' end, to which the tRNAs corresponding amino acid is attached (by aminoacyl-tRNA synthetases). tRNAs cope with the degeneracy of the genetic code in two manners: having more than one tRNA (with a specific anti-codon) for a particular amino acid; and 'wobble' base-pairing, i.e. permitting non-standard base-pairing at the 3rd anti-codon position.
Source: Rfam by way of RNAcentral
GCCUGGGUGGCUCGGUCGGUUAAGCGUCCGACUUUGGCUCAGGUCAUGAUCUCAUGGUCCGUGGGUUCGAGCCCCACAUCAGGCU